UUAUACACAAGCAUUCAUCCACAUCCACAUUCAUUUUUAUUCCCAUUUCCUGUCUAUAAUUUUCUCAAACAAGAAAAUGAACUUUGAUAUGUUAUAUUCUCCUUCUUAGUAAGUGCACUACACGCUGUGAUCAACCGCCCUACAAAAAACAAAAAACAAAAACAAAAAAGUACAACAGUGCAGUGCGGGCGCGAUGGACUGCAUGGUUGCGGCGUCAGCUGCCCCUCAUGAGAGCACCUCUUGUGUACCUCUCGUGAACUGCAAACGACAGCAUAACCAACGAUAGACCAUGAAGCUUUGCCACGCUAUGGAGGAUGUAGUCCGCCUGCUGCCUUGCUAUAGCACACAUUCGGAAGUUGAUUGAGAUCACUAUUAAUUUUGGGAUACCACAGUCAUACAUACGUGGAGAUGGCAAAGUUAGAAAUAUCAGUCUAACCAAGUUUCAAGUGGCAAGAUUAAUUUWAAUUUCUGAAAGAAACUUGAAGGUGACUUCUCUGAACUCUUGUUGAUCAUCUACAUCCAUAUACCAGGG
RNAcentral lists this long non-coding RNA (532 nucleotides) under Hordeum vulgare. RNAcentral describes it as "long non-coding RNA (HVUL_LNC009515)". Lineage: Eukaryota; Viridiplantae; Streptophyta; Magnoliopsida; Poales; Poaceae. The record is from RNAcentral.